RNAcentral lists this ribosomal RNA (374 nucleotides) under uncultured organism. RNAcentral describes it as "partial 16S ribosomal RNA". It matches the Rfam family "Bacterial small subunit ribosomal RNA", at positions 526 to 896 of the family's 1533-position model. The record is from RNAcentral.
GUAGGUGGGCAAGCGUUGUCCGGGAAUUAUUGGGGCGUAAAGCGCGCGCAGGCGGUCCUUUAAGUCUGAUGUGAAAGCCCACGGCUCAACCGUGGAGGGUCAUUGGAAACUGGGGGACUUGAGUACAGAAGAGGAAAGCGGAAUUCCAAGUGUAGCGGUGAAAUGCGUAGAGAUUUGGAGGAACACCAGUGGCGAAGGCGGCUUUCUGGUCUGUAACUGACGCUGAGGCGCGAAAGCGUGGGGAGCAAACAGGAUUAGAUACCCUGGUAGUCCACGCCGUAAACGAUGAGUGCUAAGUGUUAGGGGGUUUCCGCCCCUUAGUGCUGCAGCUAACGCAUUAAGCACUCCGCCUGGGGAGUACGGCCGCAAGGCCG